RNAcentral lists this long non-coding RNA (874 nucleotides) under Homo sapiens (human). RNAcentral's name for it is "HSALNT0034432". Lineage: Eukaryota; Metazoa; Chordata; Mammalia; Primates; Hominidae. The record is from RNAcentral.
AACCCAGGCCUUCCAGCAGGCAAUGGCAACCCCCUUUGGGUCCCCUCCCUUUAUAUGGGAGCUCUGUUUUCACCCUAUUAAAUCUUGCAACUGCACUUUUCUGGUCCAUGUUUGUUACAGCUUGAGCUGAGCUUUCGCUCGCCAUCCACCACUGCUGUUUGCCGUUGUGCCGGACCCGCCACUGACUUCUAUCCCUCCGGAUCCGGCAGGGUGUCUGCUGUGCUCCUGAUCCAGCGAGGCGCCCAUUGCUGCUCCCGAUCAGGCUAAAGGCUUGCCAUUGUUCCUGCACGGCUAAGUGCCUGGGUUCGUCCUAAUCGAGCUGAACACUAGUUACUGGGUUCCAUGGUUCUCUUCUGUGAUCCAUGGCUUCUAAUAGAGGUAUAACACUCACCUGGCAUGGCCCAGGAUUCCAUUCCUUGGGAUCCGUGAGGCCAAGAACCCCAGGUCAGAGAACACGAGGCUUGCCACCAUCUUGGAAGCGGCCCACCACCAUCUUGGAAGCUGCUAGCCACCAUCUUGGAAGUUCUGUGAACAAGGACCCCCGGUAACAUUUUGGCGACCACGAAGGGACCUCCAAAGUGACAGAUGGAGGCUCUCUCUCUGUGCAACUGGGGGUGUGGUGAUGCAAAUAUCCUUCUGGCCACCGCCACUGGGGCCGUGCUGGGUCAGACCUGAAGGCAGCACAGCACUGGAUUUCACCUGAGGCCCUCUAUAAUCACUACCCGGCUGCCACCUAUGUUCACUCAAGACCCUAUGUUCAUUCAACGGCUCUAUAAUCAGCAGAUGGCAAAUCCAGCCAGGUUCAUGUGCUUCCCUUCAGGAUGAAGAGGUCAUGUGAGCAUUCAGUGAGGAGGUCCUCAGACCUUCCGAGAGA